This is a long non-coding RNA of Ailuropoda melanoleuca (giant panda), 2396 nucleotides long. RefSeq lists it as uncharacterized. NCBI's taxonomy places the organism in Eukaryota, Metazoa, Chordata, Mammalia, Carnivora, Ursidae. The record is from RefSeq and is a predicted model, not a curated record. The transcript has 2 exons.
CCUGUGCCGACCCCCCUUCUCCCCCGCUUUUCCCUCCCCCGGCUUAUUCUUUUCAUUGCAUUAUCAUCAUUCAUUUCUCUCUUUCUUCACCCACUUCCCCCCUCCCCGGCCCUGCCAUCCAUCCUCCUCCUCCUCCCAUCGCCCCCGCCUCUUUUCCCCCUUUAUCUAAUCAGCAUAAAAUGGUUCUAAAGCUCCUGUUGGAGCUCGAGGCUGCGGUCGGAGCGGCUGAAGCCGCGGUGGCGGCUUCAGCUCAAGCUGCGGCUGUUGUCGCCGCCGCUGCCCAUUGUGAUUGGUGGCUCGCGCUCGGCUGGAGCGUGCCGCUAAUUUAUUAAUGAAUGGAGGUCGCGAGGCGCAGCUGGCCAAUCAGGGCGCCCCGGACUCCGGGAGGCCUGCGAGCCACGCGCACCGGAGCCCGCUCCCUUUCAGCCGCUCAUUAGGGGCCGGGGCGCCGGGGGCCGUUGGGGAGACCGAAGCUACCGCCCCCGCCCCCGGUCCUUGCGGCCGCACCCCACCCCCCAGCCCCGGCGCGCGCGCUCGCACAGAACCCGGCGCUUCCCCGCCUCUCAGCUCCCGGACGUCGGGAUGCGAGGAAUUAGUUAAUGGGGGUCAGAAUGCCGGGGAAAGCAACCAGGCUCUGGUGCUGCCGGGAGUCUCUUGGCAAAGCCUCUUAGGAGCUGUAUCAAAUAGUAAAUGAUUUUAAAAACGCAGUCAUUUGGUUAAGGGAGGAAUAUGCGGUGGGGGUGGCGAGUUGUGGACACCUGGUGGGCAAGCACGUUUAGGUUCCAGAGAGACUGGCGUGUGAGGGUGAAGGAAGAGGACGUUGGAGGGUUCAUCGAGGCGUCUCCCAGAAGGAGAGCGAUCGAGUGUGGGCGAGGUCGAUGGGCUUUUGGAGGACGUGAGAAUAAAAGCACUCAGGUGUUAGAGCUAAAAGGGCUUCCGUAUUUUACCUGUGACAAACUGAGUCUCCGGGAACUGCCACAGGUUUUGUUUGUUUUGUUUUUCGGGUUAACCUCAGUUUACCGCAGGGACAGGCAACCAGGUGGCUUCCUGCGACGGUGACAGCGAGCGGAGUGGGAGGAGCGGCCGACCUGCCGCUCCCGCGAACGCCUGGGCUGCGCUGACAUUUCCGUGACCUCUGCUUCACGCUGGGGGGCGUUGUAGGGACAUGGGGCCCGUCCUCCUCAUACUCGCGGCUUUUCAACGGGAAAAUAGAGCUGAGGGGUACUGGACUUCGGAGGAAACUUGUUCUGCAUUGCUCGUCAGCCCUCCCUCUCCCCUCCCCACGCUCAUCCCACCCUCUUGUAGACGUGGCUGACUUUUCUUAGAGACAGAAGCAGACCCCCGAGAAGUGUGUGCUGCGCGGAGCAUUAGACCAUGCAUGAGUUGUGGCGAUGGCUCUGGACUCGGUAGAUAGGAGAGGACUCCCUUGAGAUCCCUUUUGCAAAUUAAGUUUAACCAAGGCGCAUUUGGAAUGCUGGGAGUUGAAAAGUGGCAAGGGAAAAAGAUAAUUGUCUGCGGGUCUGUGUCUCAUUCAGUUUGUAGGAGUUGGAAACAAGUUUAUUUCAGAGAAGGGCAUGAUGAAAGUGGUCGUUAGUGUUUUGGCAUGAUUUUAAUUUGUUUAAUAUUUUCUGCAGGGAGUAAGCAGGAUUGGAAGGCACAAAGUAAAGAAAAUGAAAAAUUAGAAUCCCGCGAAAGAAACCUUUGCCCACUCCAGCUCUCCAAACUCCAGACUUUCUUCUGUCUCGGAAUGAUUUUACAGCUGCCAUGAUUUUCACUUUGCUUGAUGAUAUUUGUGUUUUGCCUCUCCUCCCUUUUGAAAAACAAGUUCCCUAAAUUUAUUUUUUUUAAGAUUUUAUUUAUUUAUUUGAUAGUGAGACAGCCAGCGAGAGAGGGAACACAAGCAGGGGGAGUGGGAGAGGAAGAAGCAGGCUCAUAGCGGAAGAGCCUGAUGUGGGCCUCGAUCCCAUAAGGCCUGGAUCACGCCCUGAGCCGGAGGCAGACGCUUAACCGCUGUGCCACCCAGGCCCCCCAAGUUCCCUAAAUUUAAAAGCAGUAUUUCCCCAGGUUACCUCCUCCGUCUUUUAGGAGCAGCUUGAUUUCAUUUGUGAGAAGUGCAAAAAUGUAUAAAGAUGGGAGAGACACUUUCAGUCUCCAACAUACAGUAGCUGCCUCUCUCACACUUCUUUGGGUCUCUGGUUCUGUAUCAUGAGCCUGCAGUAUCAGAACUUCAGGAAAGAGUUGGAUCAAGAAGAAGAUGUGUGCGUAGUAAAAGUUACCAGAAGUGCUUACGGUGGCUGCAUGUAAGCCUCAGCAUUAUUUUCCAGCUUUUGAGAGAAGCGUCACUCAGUAAUAGAACACUUCUGGAAAUAUUUCCCACUAUGAAGAAUAUUAUUUUU